This 444-nucleotide ribosomal RNA is filed under the name uncultured bacterium. RNAcentral describes it as "partial 16S ribosomal RNA". It matches the Rfam family "Bacterial small subunit ribosomal RNA", at positions 339 to 795 of the family's 1533-position model. The record is from RNAcentral.
CUACGGGGGGCACCAGUGGGGAAUAUUGCACAAUGGGCGAAAGCCUGAUGCAGCAACGCCGCGUGAGGGACGACGGCCUUCAGGUUGUAAACCUCUUUUAGCAGGGAAGAAGCGAAAGUGACGGUACCUGCAGAAAAAGCACCGGCUAACUACGUGCCAGCAGCCGAGGUAAUACGUAGGGUGCAAGCGUUGUCCGGAAUUAUUGGGCGUAAAGAGCUCGUAGGCGGUUUGUCGCGUCUGCUGUGAAAAUCCGAGGCUCAACCUCGGACCUGCAGUGGGUACGGGCAAACUAGAGUGCGGUAGGGGAGAUUGGAAUUCCUGGUGUAGCGGUGGAAUGCGCAGAUAUCAGGAGGAACACCAAUGGCGAAGGCAGAUCUCUGGGCCGUAACUGACGCUGAGGAGCGAAAGCGUGGGGAGCGAACAGGAUUAGAUACCCCAGUAGUC